This 615-nucleotide ribosomal RNA is filed under the name uncultured bacterium. RNAcentral describes it as "bacterial SSU rRNA". It matches the Rfam family "Bacterial small subunit ribosomal RNA", at positions 338 to 947 of the family's 1533-position model. The record is from RNAcentral.
CCUACGGGAGGCAGCAGUGGGGAAUUUUGGACAAUGGGCGCAAGCCUGAUCCAGCAAUGCCGCGUGAGUGAAGAAGGCCUUCGGGUUGUAAAGCUCUUUUGUCAGGGAAGAAACGGUGGGAGCUAAUAUCUCCUACUAAUGACGGUACCUGAAGAAUAAGCACCGGCUAACUACGUGCCAGCAGCCGCGGUAAUACGUAGGGUGCAAGCGUUAAUCGGAAUUACUGGGCGUAAAGCGUGCGCAGGCGGUUUUGUAAGUCUGUCGUGAAAGCCCCGGGCUCAACCUGGGAAUUGCGAUGGAGACUGCGAGGCUUGAAUCUGGCAGAGGGGGGUAGAAUUCCACGUGUAGCAGUGAAAUGCGUAGAGAUGUGGAGGAACACCGAUGGCGAAGGCAGCCCCCUGGGUCAAGAUUGACGCUCAUGCACGAAAGCGUGGGGAGCAAACAGGAUUAGAUACCCUGGUAGUCCACGCCCUAAACGAUGUCUACUAGUUGUCGGGUUUUAAUUAACUUGGUAACGCAGCUAACGCGUGAAGUAGACCGCCUGGGGAGUACGGUCGCAAGAUUAAAACUCAAAGGAUUGACGGCUGNGAGNGCGAGACGACGACGAGGAGGAGG